ACUUGAGCCUUGCGAAUAAUUCC
Molecule: microRNA, 23 nt
Filed under: Tribolium castaneum (red flour beetle)
Lineage: Eukaryota; Metazoa; Arthropoda; Insecta; Coleoptera; Tenebrionidae
Description: Tca-Mir-375_5p* (star (passenger))
Source: RNAcentral